GGGGAAUAUUGCGCAAUGGGGGGAACCCUGACGCAGCCAUGCCGCGUGAAUGAAGAAGGCCUUCGGGUUGUAAAGUUCUUUCGGUAUUGAGGAAGGUUGAUGUGUUAAUAGCACAUCAAAUUGACGUUAAAUACAGAAGAAGCACCGGCUAACUCCGUGCCAGCAGCCGCGGUAAUACGGAGGGUGCGAGCGUUAAUCGGAAUAACUGGGCGUAAAGGGCACGCAGGCGGUUAUUUAAGUGGGGUGUGAAAGCCCCGGGCUUAACCUGGGAAUUGCAUUUCAGACUGGGUAACUAGAGUACUUUAGGGAGGGGUAGAAUUCCACGUGUAGCGGUGAAAUGCGUAGAGAUGUGGAGGAAUACCGAAGGCGAAGGCAGCCCCUUGGGAAUGUACUGACGCUCAUGUGCGAAAGCGUGGGGAGCAAACAGGAUUAGAUACCCUGGUAGUCCACGCUGUAAACGCUGUCGAUUUGGGGGUUGGGGUUUAACUCUGGCGCCCGUAGCUAACGUGAUAAAUCGACCGCCUGGGGAGUACGGCCGCAAGGUUA
Molecule: ribosomal RNA, 546 nt
Filed under: uncultured bacterium
Lineage: Bacteria
Description: bacterial SSU rRNA
Rfam family: Bacterial small subunit ribosomal RNA
Source: RNAcentral